UGCAGUCGAACGGCAGCACGAGAGAGCUUGCUCUCUUGGUGGCGAGUGGCGGACGGGUGAGGAAUACAUCGGAAUCUACCUUUUGGUGGGGGAUAACGUAGGGAAACUUACGCUAAUACCGCAUACGCCCUUCGGGGGAAAGCCGGGGACCUUCGGGCCUGGCGCUGAUAGAUGAGCCGAUGUCGGAUUAGCUAGUUGGUGAGGUAAUGGCUCACCAAGGCGACGAUCCGUAGCUGGUCUGAGAGGAUGAUCAGCCACACUGGAACUGAGACACGGUCCAGACUCCUACGGGAGGCAGCAGUGGGGAAUAUUGGACAAUGGGCGCAAGCCUGAUCCAGCCAUACCGCGUGGGUGAAGAAGGCCUUCGGGUUGUAAAGCCCUUUUGUUGGGAAAGAAAAGCGAUCGGUUAAUACCCGGUUGUUCUGACGGUACCCAAAGAAUAAGCACCGGCUAACUUCGUGCCAGCAGCCGCGGUAAUACGAAGGGUGCAAGCGUUACUCGGAAUUACUGGGCGUAAAGCGUGCGUAGGUGGUGGUUUAAGUCCGUUGUGAAAGCCCUGGGCUCAACCUGGGAAUUGCAGUGGAUACUGGGUCACUAGAGUGUGGUAGAGGAUAGUGGAAUUUCCGGUGUAGCAGUGAAAUGCGUAGAGAUCGGAAGGAACAUCUGUGGCGAAGGCGACUAUCUGGGCCAACACUGACACUGAGGCACGAAAGCGUGGGGAGCAAACAGGAUUAGAUA
RNAcentral lists this ribosomal RNA (738 nucleotides) under Pseudoxanthomonas sp. AB29T14. RNAcentral describes it as "bacterial SSU rRNA". It matches the Rfam family "Bacterial small subunit ribosomal RNA", at positions 56 to 784 of the family's 1533-position model. The record is from RNAcentral. Lineage: Bacteria; Pseudomonadati; Pseudomonadota; Gammaproteobacteria; Lysobacterales; Lysobacteraceae.